AUGACGGCCUUCGGGUUGUAAACCUCUUUCAGUAGGGAAGAAGCGUACGUGACGGUACCUGCAGAAGAAGCGCCGGCUAACUACGUGCCAGCAGCCGCGGUAAUACGUAGGGCGCAAGCGUUAUCCGGAAUUAUUGGGCGUAAAGAGCUCGUAGGCGGUUUGUCGCGUCUGCCGUGAAAGUCCGGGGCUCAACUCCGGAUCUGCGGUGGGUACGGGCAGACUACAGUGAUGUAGGGGAGACUGGAAUUCCUGGUGUAGCGGUGAAAUGCGCAGAUAUCAAGAGGAACACCGAUGGCGAAGGCAGGUCUCUGGGCAUUAACUGACGCUGAGGAGCGAAAGCAUGGGGAGCGAACAGGAUUAGAUGCCCUGGUAGUCCAUGCCGUAAACGUUGGGCACUACGUGUGGGGGACAUUCCACGUUUUCCGCGCCGUAGCUAACGCAUUAAGUGCCCCGCCUGGGGAGUACGGCCGCAAGGCUAAAACUCAGAGGAAUUGACGGA
RNAcentral lists this ribosomal RNA (499 nucleotides) under Pseudarthrobacter equi. RNAcentral's name for it is "bacterial SSU rRNA". It matches the Rfam family "Bacterial small subunit ribosomal RNA", at positions 408 to 917 of the family's 1533-position model. The record is from RNAcentral. Lineage: Bacteria; Bacillati; Actinomycetota; Actinomycetes; Micrococcales; Micrococcaceae.